Molecule: long non-coding RNA, 6223 nt
Organism: Orcinus orca (killer whale)
Lineage: Eukaryota; Metazoa; Chordata; Mammalia; Artiodactyla; Delphinidae
Exons: 2
Source: RefSeq, a predicted model, not a curated record
AGGCUGGAGGAUAUGCUUGGUCUAAAGAUCCGAACGCCCGCACUUCCGGAAUUGCACGGUUCGGUCUGAAGCGUGUGCGUGUGUCUGUGGCUCGAUGGGUGAUGAGCUGGCAAGAUACGUUAACAGACCCCCUGAGGCCUGGACCACCUGGCCAGAGAAUCCUAAACCAGAGACAUCCUGAGUCCCGGAACCUGAAUGUCACAGAAAGCACAAUAUAAGAACUCUAGUCAAUAUCUUGUAAUAACCUAUAAUGGAAAAGAAUCUGAAAAAGAAUAUAUAUGUGUAUGUACAUAUAUAUACACAUAUAUAUGUAUAACUGAAUCACUUUGCUGUAUACCUGAAACUAACACAAUAUUAUAAAUUAACUAUACUUCAGUUUAAAGAGAGGUUAAAAAAUGUCACGGAAAUGUCCCAAGAUGAUUAAUCCCAGCCUCUUUGUUCUUCCCCUUUAUAAAACCCCCUCACUCAAAGAGCAAGUGGAGCGGAUCUGAGGCGUGUCUCCCACUUCCUUGAUGGGUGCCUUGCAAAUAAACCCUGUACUUUACUUCACCACAACCUGCUGUAGUAUAUUGGCUAUGCUGCUUGUUUGGCAAGCAGACCCGAGUUCGGUUCAAUAACAAUUUUGUCCACCAUGAAGAGACCAUCAACUGGAACUGUUUUUGUAAAAGGGAAGGAAAAUGACAUGAAAUUCUUUGUGUGUAGGCUUUUAUGCUAGUGUAUCAAAGUUAGCCUUUUGGAAUUGGUUUGUCUUUUAUCUGUGUGUGUGUGUGUGUGUUUGUGCGUGUGUAUUUGUGCUAAAGAAGGUACACUAUUUUACUUGGUGGACAUUAAACAUUAAACAAAAGUUCAGUUCCUAAAAAUAGCCCUUUAGGAUGCAUCCUACAAAAUUGGACCACCUUUUGUUCUGGUACCAUGACUAAAGCCAAAAAGAUGAUUUUUUCUUUUUUUUUUUGGUAACACUGUGUAACCACAGUAUUCUUUAGACUCUGGAGAAAAAUGCCCAAGAUUAGGCUCAUUUGAUAAUCCAUAACUAGUUUUGCCAGCUUGAUAAAACAUCUUUUCAGAAUUCUGACCCUAAGAGAGCAGGUUCUAGGAGGAGCUUGCUUUUCUCUCCCUGUACCUUGAGCUGUAAAUGUUCUACCAGGGCUCUCAGGAACUCCUGUCUUAUCUAGGCAUCUCCAAUUCCUGAGACUGAGAGGAAAAAUGGGGGGGGUGGAGGGAAGAGGCCUUUUUAAACUUAACUUAUUCCAACUGUUAUUUAUAAACUAGUGAGUUUUAUAUUGUAAUACCUGAUUCAUGACUAAGUUAAAAUGAAGCUAUGAGGUCUCUAGUUGUAUCUGCCUAUAUGUCUGUGUGUACAUUAUACAUAUGAUAUGUCUCAACUUCCAGACCUUAUUAACAAAAUUAAUUUCUUGCGACUUCCCUGGUGGCUCAGUGGUUAAGAAUCCGCCUGCCAAUGCGGGGGACAUGGGUUCGAGCCCUUGUCCGGGAAGAUCCCACAUGCUGUAGAGCAUCUAAGAACGUGUGCCACAACUACUGAGCCUGUGCUCUAGAGCCCACAAGCCAUAACUACUGAAGCCCAUGCAACUAGAGCCUGUGCUCUGCAACAAGAGAAGCCACCACGAUGAGAAGCCCGUGCACUGCAACAAAGAGUAGCCCCCACUUGCUGCAACUAGAGAAAGCCCGCACAGCAGCGAAGGCCCAACGCAGUCAAAAAUAAAUAAAUUAAUUUAAAAAAAUUAUUAAAAAGGAAUAUACAAGAAACUAAACCAAAGAAAUUUCAGGUUUAUGUGAACUGGGAAAUAUUCAGUAUUAAAUUAACUUUGGGCAUUAAAGUUCAUUUUUGCUGGUUUCAUCAGACAUGUCCUUGGAGCCAUCAACAUUAAGUAUGAUAUUUUUAUUGUACCUAGGUUUACUGGAGGUUAAAUAAGAUCUUAUUAUAUCUGUUGCAGAAUUUGUCAGCAAGAAAAAUAACUUGGUAUGAUGAAAUUUUUUUUUUUUUUUUUUUUUUGCGCUACACGGGCCUCUCACUGCUGCGGCCUCUCCCGUUGUGGAGCACAGGUUCCAGACACGCAGGCCCAGCGGCCAUGGCUCACAGGCCCAGCUGCUCCGCGGCAUGUGGGAUCUUCCCGGACCGGGGCACGAACCCGUGUCCCCUGCAUCGGCAGGCAGACUCUCAACCACUGCACCACCAGGGAAGCCCGAUGAAAUUUUUUAAAGUAAAUUAAAUGUAAAUGAGAUAAGUUUUUUUUUUUAAAGGAGAACUCUUUAAGAAUAAUUAUGUUUUAUGACUGUCUACUUAAAAGUAGUUUCUUCAGAUAUUUGGUAACUUGAAACUUUAGAGUUUUGCUAAAUUAAAUGAUGGAAGUUUAUUGAAUAUUUUACAAGUUUGCUAAUCUACAGAGUGCUAAUGUAAAAAACAGUUCAUAGUUGCUUAUUUCUUAGUUUUCACUAGAAAUUUAGGUUUUCAAGAGUUGAGAAUUCUAAUUAAUAUAUUUAAUUAAAACUAAAAUUUAAUAAGAAAACACCUUUGUAUGCAAGGAAAAGAAGGUAUAAGAAAUGGAAAUUCAUUUUUUUAAGAGAGAGAAAGUAAUUUGGUCCUAAAACUGGUUAUUUCUAAAUGGGAAAGAAAAUAUGGGACAAAUUAAUAUGGGUAUAGAAAGUUGUGGAAGCUUUGCAAGAGGGAAAGGUCUUUAGAAAGGAAUUCUAUGUGUAGUCAGGACUAACGAAGAUUAGAAUGAGUUUAAUUGAGUAAAUGAAUUUUAAUAUUAAAGGUAAGAUGGUGUAAAACCUGGGUUUUCUCUGUCUAUGAAGAGAACAAAGUUUUUUUGGACUGUUGAGCUGCUUUUGAUAACAGAUUGUAAGUUUCUUUCCAAGCUUUUAAGUAAUUUAAAAUGUUCUGUAUUUGCUUUUGAAAUCUUUUAUUGUCACUUUGGUUAAAUGAAUAAGUAUUGUUGCCUAUGGUCCUAUCUGACCAAGCCCUAUGGUCCUAUCUGACCAGUGCCCUAUGGUCCUAUCUGACCAAGCGUGAUACCUCCCGCGCCUGGUGCAGUGUCCUGCUGGGCAGAGCCACCUCUGGGGUACAAGGCUAGCGUGGGAAGGGACUUGGAAUUGGAACACAAACAAAAAAUCAAAACCCUCAACAUCUGCACUUGGCACCUGUCAUUCUCAACAUCUGUAGAUGAGAAAUCCAAAGAGGAUUGAGAAUGACCCACGAGCAGGUCCUCACAGGUGCAAGAAGUCAGAGGACCUGUUCAUUACCGAGGACCAGAGCGUCCAAAGCGUCAACCAGCUGCCAGCUAGAGGGGGCCUGGGCAAGGUACUGAAGGCUGUGAGAUGAGACCUUGGUAUCUCUUACAGCAGAAAAACCCAACUGGGUGCUUCCCUUCUGUUCUUAACAGCGACCUGCAAUAGGGGACCAGGGAUUUGGUGAGAAUUGAGACCCCAGCUCACUUCCUGGGUAAGUUCCCGGAACCCCUCCCUCUGCAGCUGCAGCCACCCUGGUUGCUCUCGCCUCACAUCACAGGGGCCCGGCCUCUGCCCCGGAGUCAGUCUGCAGGCUCUCCAACUUGUUUUUAGAGUCGGUAUCUUGACACAUGGGUUUCUCCAGACCCUAUCCGCUCUUCUUAGAAGGGAGGGCCUCCAUUUCAGUCUCACAAAUCUGUCAAGAAGCUACCUUUAACUGCACCUGUUGGUCUUACAAGGGAGGCCUUCCUGCGGGACAUACGGAAUCUGGAAUUUUAUCGCCAGAACUUUGUGAUGCCCCUCAGGGGAUACAAAGGUGGAAACUUAGACCGUGUCACCACCAGAUUGUAGAGAAUGAGACUCUGUGCUACUGAUGUUGGUCAGAGGUGGGGAGGGUGCACCUGAGUAGUCACUGAGGAAUUCCUGUGUUCACCCAAUGCUUGUUGAACACAUAUUGGAUAUGGGGGCCCAUAGAGGUAAACAAGCCUAGUCUCACCUUCUGAUUAGAGAAGACAGACCUAUGUCUGAACAAGCACUAGUGAAUCAGUGUGCUGUGUGAGGUGAGGCUAGGGCUGGGGAUGGGGAUAGGUGUCUCCAGAGCAAGACCACAGGCUUGCACAACUCCAGGGGCACCAGGCAUGUGGAAUGUGAUGUGACUGUUGGCCCCUGGGACUGUGCAGUGCGGCAGCCUUAUUCCUGGAGCUGAAGACCCCAGGCCUGGGCUUAAGAGAUGAGCUGAAGUUCUGCAGAUAGGAAAGAAGGUAGCAGUGAGCCAUGGCUUUCUAAGUAAAGGGACCAGCAAUUGAAAGAAACAUAGGUGUAAAAGGGUAUUCUCUCCUCAAGCAUGCCAGCCACUACGUGGGCCUUCGGUGAGGGUAUCUUGGGUGCAAAUGAGAGGUAGAGAGUAAGGGUCCGAUCCAGGACAUUGAGAAUUUUCAUCCUAAAAUAGUUUCCAGGCUCUACCUCUUCCCACAGUUGCUCUGCUAAGAGAAUUGGUCUCAGGUUUUUGGUUUUUUUUUUUUUGGAAGAAAAAAUUGAAAGAACUUUCCAGGCCAGAGGCAGAAUUGCAAGAUGGUUAAGAAUGUGGGAGCCUGAGCACCAUUUUAACCAAGUGAUCCAAGUGAUGAAAUAAAAAUUCACACUUUAAAGGCAAGACAAGAAAAAUUUAAACAGAAAACUUUCUCUGUCCUUUGGCCUCCUCUCUCCCCUCUAGCACCUUUGUGCAUCUCCAUUAUGUGUUAACUAGACCCUCCCCAAUGGCAGAAAUACCUGCUCAAUCAGAAAGAUAAAUUUUUCUCCUUCUGACACCAGCCAUGUAACUCCUUAGAUGACACCAUUCCUUUCUCAAUCUUGUAAAGGGUCACGAUGACCCACCACUCCCUUUGUCUGUGCAGAUAUCUUUGGUGAACUUUAUAUACAAAGCCAAUAUAACAUUUCCAUUAAAGAUAUCGAUUGGUGCAUAACAGACUGGUCAGACAACCUGGGGAGAUACUGGGCUGCAUCUAAUGGAAGUUCUUAGCUUGAAUACUUACUUAUGACCUUAUUAAUGUUACUAGCUGUAUUACUUCUAUUCUGCCUAUUUUACAAGAUUAUUAUUCUCUCAUUACCACAUACGUGACAGCCUCUGAUAAAAAUAAUGAUGAUGGGGGCUUCCCUGGUGGCGCAGUGGUUAAGAAUCCGCCUGCCAAUGCAGGGGAUACGGGUUCAAGCCCUGGUCUGGGAAGAUCCCACAUGCCGCGGAGCAACUAAGCCCGUGCGCCACAACUACUGAGCCUACACUCUAGAGCCCGCAAGCCACAACUACUGAAGCCUGUGUGCCACAGCUACUGAAGCCCACGCGCCUAGAGCCCGUGCUCUGAAACAAGAGAAGCCACCGCAAUGAGAAGCCCGCGCACCGCAACGAAGAGUAGCCCCCGCUCUCAGAAACUAGAGAAAACCCGCGUGCAGCAGCGAAGACCCAAUGCAGCCAAAAAUUAAAUAAAUGAAUAAGUAAAUACAUUUAUUUAAAAAAAAAAUGAUGUCUAGGCAACUUGAAACAGUUGAGCAAAUAUAUAGUCCUCUAAGAUCAAUGAUUGUAAUACUGUAACUCUAGAUAUGGGAAGAAAGAAGAGGGUACCAUUUUCUGGACCAUAACAGACUAGUAAGACAGGGGAUCUAGAGGCUUUUGGCUACUGUUAACAGGGCCUAGUCCUAUAAUAGCGUGUCGAGUGGCCUAUCAACAAAAUCUUCUCCUGACCUGAGAAUGAGCAUUCCUGAGGCCGCGGGACAAAUCGGUCACGAAAUGCCUCCCAAACCUUGGUCGAAAUUAAGGCUGAAAGGAAGGGGAUUGUGAUACAAAGAAUGUUGCCCACCAUCCAGUUCUAUGAGAAUCAAGUUGUUAGCCACUGCAUUCGCUGACUUACAUACACCUUGAAAUGGGUUCAGGGAUCAGGAUGAAGCACUUUGUGCUCUAGGAAAACUGACAGAACCGGCCCUCAGAUAAUUGGAUAUUUUCGGGAAAAAUUUUAUGAACUCAGCUUCUUGCAUUUUCCCAGACUUAGAAAAGCACGAAAGCCAUUAACUAAGAUAUCUGUUCAUCUGAAUAAUAGUAACUUUCUACUGAGAUGUGUGCUUGGUUGCAUGUACCCCUUCACCAAACUCACAUAUAUACUAGCCUCCCCGCUUACCUCUUUGGAACAGUUCUCAGAGCUGUCUGAAGGACUGUCUCCCAGAUUAUAAUCCCCAGGUUGGCUCAAUUAAAAUUUUCCAUUUCUUUCUU